Molecule: ribosomal RNA, 232 nt
Filed under: Bacillus licheniformis
Lineage: Bacteria; Bacillati; Bacillota; Bacilli; Caryophanales; Bacillaceae
Also listed under: 1 other name
Description: partial 23S ribosomal RNA
Rfam family: Bacterial large subunit ribosomal RNA
Source: RNAcentral
GGGAUGGACGCACCGCUGGUGUACCAGUUGUUCUGCCAAGGGCAUCGCUGGGUAGCUAUGUGCGGACGGGAUAAGUGCUGAAAGCAUCUAAGCAUGAAGCCCCCCUCAAGAUGAGAUUUCCCAUUCCGCAAGGAAGUAAGAUCCCUGAAAGAUGAUCAGGUUGAUAGGUCUGAGGUGGAAGUGUGGCGACACAUGGAGCUGACAGAUACUAAUCGAUCGAGGACUUAACCUA